Small nuclear RNA from Dromiciops gliroides (monito del monte), 105 nucleotides. The record is from RefSeq and is a predicted model, not a curated record. NCBI's taxonomy places the organism in Eukaryota, Metazoa, Chordata, Mammalia, Microbiotheria, Microbiotheriidae.
UCAUUGCCCCAAAAGAAAAGAAAAAAACAAAAAUCAAUACAGAGAAGAUUAGCAUGGUCUCUAUACAACGAUGACAUGCAAAUUUGUGAAGCCUUCCCUAUUAAA